CGCUGGCGGCGUGCCUAACACAUGCAAGUCGAACGGGGAUUUGUUCGGCAGAAUCCUAGUGGCGAACGGGUGAGUAACGCGUAGGCAACCUGCCCCCCGGUCUGGGACAACACCCCGAAAGGGGUGCUAAUACCGGAUCCGAAGAUGACACCGCAUGGUGUUAUCUUGAAAGAUGGCCUCUACAUGUAAGCUAUCGCCGGGGGAUGGGCCUGCGUCCGAUUAGCUGGUUGGUGGGGUAACGGCCCACCAAGGCGACGAUCGGUAGCCGGUCUGAGAGGAUGAACGGCCACAUUGGGACUGAGACACGGCCCAGACUCCUACGGGAGGCAGCAGUGGGGAACCUUCCGCAAUGGGCGCAAGCCUGACGGAGCAACGCCGCGUGGGUGAAGGAAGUUCUUCGGAACGUAAAGCCCUGUUGUUUAUGACGAACGGGCUUCCUGUGAAUAAUGGGAAGCAGUGACGGUAAUAGACGAGGAAGCCACGGCUAACUACGUGCCAGCAGCAGC
This 506-nucleotide ribosomal RNA is filed under the name uncultured bacterium. RNAcentral describes it as "bacterial SSU rRNA". It matches the Rfam family "Bacterial small subunit ribosomal RNA", at positions 34 to 518 of the family's 1533-position model. The record is from RNAcentral.